This 122-nucleotide long non-coding RNA is filed under the name Mus spicilegus (steppe mouse). RNAcentral describes it as "lncRNA (ENSMSIG00000025568.1)". The record is from RNAcentral. Lineage: Eukaryota; Metazoa; Chordata; Mammalia; Rodentia; Muridae.
CUCUCUGAGCCUUGGUUCCUACCUUUGUAAGCUGUGAUUGACCGCAUCUUUGUUGCUAGAUUACUGUGCAAUGACUGGACCCAGGACUAACAACAAUGGAUUUGAGAUUCCUCACCAUAUCC